Ceratotherium simum simum (southern white rhinoceros) is the source of this 193-nucleotide non-coding RNA. NCBI's taxonomy places the organism in Eukaryota, Metazoa, Chordata, Mammalia, Perissodactyla, Rhinocerotidae. The record is from RefSeq and is a predicted model, not a curated record.
CCCGGUGUUGGCUCUGGUGGCAAAGAAGUCAGAGUCGUCCUGCCCCCUCCAUUUCCAUGGGGAUACUGGGGCUGGUAGAGGGAAGGUGGCUUGCCCUAACCUAGUGCUUCUCACAUUGCAACGUGCACGUGAAUCUCCUGGGAUUCUAUUAAAAUGCAGAUGGGUUCCGAAGGUCUGGGAUUCUGCUUUUCUA